RNAcentral lists this ribosomal RNA (254 nucleotides) under uncultured bacterium. Its description in RNAcentral is "partial 16S ribosomal RNA". It matches the Rfam family "Bacterial small subunit ribosomal RNA", at positions 524 to 776 of the family's 1533-position model. The record is from RNAcentral.
UACGUAGGGGGCAAGCGUUAUCCGGAUUUACUGGGUGUAAAGGGAGCGUAGGUGGCAUGGUAAGCCAGAAGUGAAAACCCGGGGCUCAACCCCGCGGAUUGCUUUUGGAACUAUCAGGCUGGAGUGCUGGAGGGGUAAGCGGAAUUCCUAGUGUAGCGGUGAAAUGCGUAGAUAUUAGGAGGAACACCGGUGGCGAAGGCGGCUUACUGGACAGAAACUGACACUGGGGCUCGAAAGCGUGGGGAGCAAACAGG